UCCGGCUUAACGCCGGCAGUCUCCCUAGAGUGCCCAACUAAAUGGUGGCAACUAAGGACGAGGGUUGCGCUCGUUGCGGGACUUAACCCAACAUCUCACGACACGAGCUGACGACAGCCAUGCAGCACCUGUGUCCAGGUUCCCUUUCGGGCACACCCCCAUCUCUGGAGGCUUCCUGGCAUGUCAAGGGUAGGUAAGGUUCUUCGCGUCGCAUCGAAUUAAGCCACAUGCUCCGCCGCUUGUGCGGGCCCCCGUCAAUUCCUUUGAGUUUCAGCCUUGCGGCCGUACUCCCCAGGCAGGGCACUUAAUGCGUUAGCGCCGACACUCAGAGGGUCGCUCCCCCAAGCAUCUAGUGCCCAUCGUUUACGGCGUGGACUAC
This 379-nucleotide unclassified non-coding RNA is filed under the name uncultured bacterium. Its description in RNAcentral is "contains 16S-23S intergenic spacer region". The record is from RNAcentral.